CGGUAAUACGGAGGAUCCAGGCGUUAUCCGGAAUCAUUGGGUUUAAAGGGUCCGUAGGCGGUCAGAUAAGUCAGUGGUGAAAGCCCAUCGCUCAACGGUGGAACGGCCAUUGAUACUGUCUGACUUGAAUUAUUAGGAAGUAACUAGAAUAUGUAGUGUAGCGGUGAAAUGCUUAGAGAUUACAUGGAAUACCAAUUGCGAAGGCAGGUUACUACUAAUUGAUUGACGCUGAUGGACGAAAGCGUGGGUAGCGAACAGGAUUAGAUACCCUGGUAGUCCACGCCGUAAGCGAUGGAUACUAGCUGUUGGGAGCAAUCUACUGAGCUGACCAGCCGUGAUAAGUAUCCCACCUGGGGAGUACGUUCGCAAGAAUGAA
RNAcentral lists this ribosomal RNA (376 nucleotides) under uncultured bacterium. RNAcentral's name for it is "bacterial SSU rRNA". It matches the Rfam family "Bacterial small subunit ribosomal RNA", at positions 518 to 898 of the family's 1533-position model. The record is from RNAcentral.